Molecule: ribosomal RNA, 478 nt
Filed under: uncultured bacterium
Lineage: Bacteria
Description: partial 16S ribosomal RNA
Rfam family: Bacterial small subunit ribosomal RNA
Source: RNAcentral
GACGAACGCUGGCGGCGUGCUUAACACAUGCAAGUCGAACGGUAAGGCCCUUCGGGGUACACGAGUGGUGAACGGGUGAGUAACACGUGGCUGAUCUGCCCUGCACUUCGGGAUAAGCCUGGGAAACUGGGUCUAAUACCGGAUAGGACCACUGCCUGCAUGGGUGGUGGUGGAAAGCUUUUGCGGUGUGGGAUGGGCCCGCGGCCUAUCAGCUUGUUGGUGGGGAGAUGGCCUACCAAGGCGACGACGGGUAGCCGGCCUGAGAGGGUGACCUGCCACAGGGGGACGGAGCAACGGCGCAGACUCCGACAGGGGGCAGCAGUGGGGAAUAGUGCUCAAUGGGCGCAAGCCUGAUGCCGCGACGCCGCGGGAGGGAUGACGGCCUUCGGGUUGUAAACCUCUUUCAGCACCGACGAAGCGCAAGUGACGGUAGGUGCAGAAGAAGAACCGGCCAACUACGUGCCAGCCGCCGCCGUAA